AAGAUCUAACAGUUGAGGUUGAUCCACACGAGCCUGAAUGGAUGGCCUAGAUCGAGGCGAGGGGGGUAUUUAAGCAUAUCUUUCUGUCAAACCCCAAACCCUAGCCGACAUACCUCGCUGGAGAACAAGAAGAAGGGUGGCCGGAAGGAGUCCCAACCACUAGAGGAAUACCGAUGCCCCCAUGCCGAAACGUUGAAAACACUUCGACAGGCCAAAAAUUAUUCUCGUUCUUCCUGUUUCUUUGCCUUUACCUAUCUAACAUGUUUUCGAUGUAGGAUAACUGAGAAAAACUUCAAACUGUGAGGAAGGAA
This 311-nucleotide long non-coding RNA is filed under the name Carica papaya (papaya). Its description in RNAcentral is "long non-coding RNA (CPAP_LNC002439)". The record is from RNAcentral. Lineage: Eukaryota; Viridiplantae; Streptophyta; Magnoliopsida; Brassicales; Caricaceae.